Molecule: ribosomal RNA, 795 nt
Filed under: Eleutherodactylus parabates (Independencia robber frog)
Lineage: Eukaryota; Metazoa; Chordata; Amphibia; Anura; Eleutherodactylidae
Description: partial 16S ribosomal RNA
Rfam family: Bacterial large subunit ribosomal RNA
Source: RNAcentral
CGUCAAAGCUUAUUUUUUACCACAAACAAUACCAUUAAUCCCUUAGAACCCCUAAAUAGUACUAAAUAAUUCUAUACACCUAUAGAACUUACUAUGCUAGAACUAGUAACAAGAAUAAACCUUCUCUUCUAUGUGAGUGUAAAUCAGAACAGAAAACCUGCUGAUCAUUAACAACCUUAAACUAUAGUACUAACACACUUAGAAAAAUUUACUCCCUAAACUGUUAACCUUACACAAGAACAUAAAAAGAAAGAUUACAAGAGAAAGAAGGAACUCGGCAAAUUAUGAUUUCGCCUGUUUACCAAAAACAUCGCCUCCUGCUAAUAUAUAGGAGGUCCAGCCUGCCCAGUGACCUAGUUUAACGGCCGCGGUAUCCUAACCGUGCGAAGGUAGCGUAAUCACCUGUUUUUUAAUUGAAGACCUGUAUGAAAGGCAUCACGAGAAUCGCACUGUCUCCUUCCUCUAAUCAGUGAAACUAAUCUUCCCGUGAAAAAGCGGGAAUACUUAUACAAGACGAGAAGACCCUUUGGAGCUUAAGAUAAAGUAACAUUUAUGCAAUUUCCCUCAAACCUAUUUUAUUGAGCAUCAAUGUUCCAAGUCUUCGGUUGGGGCAACCGCGGAGUAUAAACCACCCUCCAAGCUGAACGGAACUUUCCUAAACAAAAAGACACAACUUUAUGUAUCAAUAAAUUGACACCCAUGACCCAAUAUUUUGAUUAUCGAACCAAGUUACCCUAGGGAUAACAGCGCAAUCCACUUCAAGAGUUCAUAUCGACAAGUGGGCUUACGACCUCG